RNAcentral lists this ribosomal RNA (742 nucleotides) under uncultured bacterium. RNAcentral describes it as "bacterial SSU rRNA". It matches the Rfam family "Bacterial small subunit ribosomal RNA", at positions 8 to 796 of the family's 1533-position model. The record is from RNAcentral.
AGAGUUUGAUCAUGGCUCAGAACGAACGCUGGCGGCAGGCUUAACACAUGCAAGUCGAACGCACCUUUCGGGGUGAGUGGCAGACGGGUGAGUAACGCGUGGGAACGUGCCCUUCAAUUCGGGAUAACCCAGGGAAACUUGGGCUAAUACCGGAUACGUGCGAGAGCGGAAAGAUUUAUCGCUGAAGGAUCGGCCCGCGUCUGAUUAGCUAGUUGGUGGGGUAAUGGCCCACCAAGGCGACGAUCAGUAGCUGGUCUGAGAGGAUGAUCAGCCACAUUGGGACUGAGACACGGCCCAAACUCCUACGGGAGGCAGCAGUGGGGAAUAUUGGACAAUGGGCGCAAGCCUGAUCCAGCCAUGCCGCGUGAGUGAUGAAGGCCUUAGGGUUGUAAAGCUCUUUCGUCCGGGACGAUAAUGACGGUACCGGAAGAAGAAGCCCCGGCUAACUUCGUGCCAGCAGCCGCGGUAAUACGAAGGGGGCUAGCGUUGUUCGGAAUCACUGGGCGUAAAGGGCGCGUAGGCGGCUUUGUAAGUCGGGGGUGAAAGCCUGUGGCUCAACCACAGAAUUGCCUUCGAUACUGCAUGGCUUGAGACCGGAAGAGGUAAGUGGAACUGCGAGUGUAGAGGUGAAAUUCGUAGAUAUUCGCAAGAACACCAGUGGCGAAGGCGGCUUACUGGUCCGGUUCUGACGCUGAGGCGCGAAAGCGUGGGGAGCAAACAGGAUUAGAUACCCUAGUAGUCC